CCUACGGGGGGCAGCAGUCGAGAAUCAUUCACAAUGGGGGAAACCCUGAUGGUGCGACGCCGCGUGGGGGAAUGAAGGUCUUCGGAUUGUAAACCCCUGUCAUGUGGGAGCAAAUUAAAAAGAUAGUACCACAAGAGGAAGAGACGGCUAACUCUGUGCCAGCAGCCGCGGUAAUACAGAGGUCUCAAGCGUUGUUCGGAAUCACUGGGCGUAAAGGGUGCGUAGGCUGUUUCGUAAGGCGUGUGUGAAAGGCGCGGGCUCAACCCGCGGACGGCACAUGAUACUGCGAGACUAGAGUAAUGGAGGGGGAACCGGAAUUCUCGGUGUAGCAGUGAAAUGCGUAGAUAUCGAGAGGAACACUCGUGGCGAAGGCGGGUUCCUGGACAUUAACUGACGCUGAGGCACGAAGGCCAGGGGAGCGAAAGGGAUUAGAUACCCUUGUAGUC
RNAcentral lists this ribosomal RNA (446 nucleotides) under uncultured bacterium. Its description in RNAcentral is "partial 16S ribosomal RNA". It matches the Rfam family "Bacterial small subunit ribosomal RNA", at positions 338 to 795 of the family's 1533-position model. The record is from RNAcentral.